RNAcentral lists this transfer RNA (72 nucleotides) under Camelus bactrianus (Bactrian camel). It matches the Rfam family "tRNA". Rfam says of the family: Transfer RNA (tRNA) molecules are approximately 80 nucleotides in length. Their secondary structure includes four short double-helical elements and three loops (D, anti-codon, and T loops). Further hydrogen bonds mediate the characteristic L-shaped molecular structure. tRNAs have two regions of fundamental functional importance: the anti-codon, which is responsible for specific mRNA codon recognition, and the 3' end, to which the tRNAs corresponding amino acid is attached (by aminoacyl-tRNA synthetases). tRNAs cope with the degeneracy of the genetic code in two manners: having more than one tRNA (with a specific anti-codon) for a particular amino acid; and 'wobble' base-pairing, i.e. permitting non-standard base-pairing at the 3rd anti-codon position. Lineage: Eukaryota; Metazoa; Chordata; Mammalia; Artiodactyla; Camelidae. The record is from Rfam by way of RNAcentral. RNAcentral also lists the same sequence under 3 other names.
GAGGGUAUAGGUCAGUGGUAGAGUGCAUGCCUAGCAUGCACAAGGUCCUGGGUUCAAUCCCUGGUACUUCCA